This is a long non-coding RNA of Herpailurus yagouaroundi (jaguarundi), 274 nucleotides long. RefSeq lists it as uncharacterized. NCBI's taxonomy places the organism in Eukaryota, Metazoa, Chordata, Mammalia, Carnivora, Felidae. The transcript has 2 exons. The record is from RefSeq and is a predicted model, not a curated record.
CAAGCUUUAGGUUAUUCACAUCUUUUGCUACCACAGAUGGUGCUGUAGUGAACAAGCUUCUUUUUCUUUGUACACACAGGUGAGUGUGUCUGUAGUUCACAGUAGGAUUGUUCACAGCUGUGGGAAAGUAUGAAGCAAAUGUGGUAAUGUCCGUAAAGUUUUACAAUAUAGUGUUAAUUAAAAAUAGGUGCUGAAUAGUGGAUAUAGACUGUACUUCCAUCUGAAUAAGAAAGGGAGAGAAGAGAUAUAUAAAAUUGUUCACCUAUCAGACUGA